CCCGAACCCGAGGCGCAAAGAGCUGUUUCGGAGGGCUUUAUUUACCCUAACGCGGUGGGCAGACUUUUAGCUGUGGAUGAGGCUCGCUUUUGGCACGUAUUUUCCAUCUCCAGGGCAUCGCCACCGAUCGUUCCUUAGAACAUAGCCCAGAUAGGGUGCCUUGAAAGCAGCUUCAUCCCAGCAGUAGUUUUGUACCACCACGCUAUUGGACAAGCCAGAACCUUACAUCUGUGUCAGUGUGCAGCCCCCUUGCUAACCUUUUAAUAAUCGCCUUUUAAAUACUUGCUGCGGCCUAGAUGCUGGUUAGCAACUAAGGACACCUUCUGAGUUUAGAUUUAUGAUUUCGAAGUACAGCUUUCGACAGGGAUCGAAUUGUAUCUCUAACAGACAAGAUAUAAUAUCCUGUGCUGAGGCUUUUAGCAAAUUUCUGGAAGGCUGUUAGAUAAUUCGCUGCAUUUAAUUCAAAAGUCAGAACGAUGUGCAAGGAAUUGACUAUACUUCGAAGAAUAAUCAGAAGAGCCACAUGGUACAAAAUUUCAGACCACAAUGGCAGACAAAACCAUUCAGAUUUCAGAAUGGGCUUCUUCCUGGAAACAUGAAAUGUGAACUGUAAGAACUUCUCCAAAGGUUGCUACUAAAUUAUGUUAAAUAGGACACUAAAUUGUAGUCAUUUUUAUAU
Molecule: long non-coding RNA, 679 nt
Filed under: Naja naja (Indian cobra)
Lineage: Eukaryota; Metazoa; Chordata; Lepidosauria; Squamata; Elapidae
Description: lncRNA (ENSNNAG00000016366.1)
Source: RNAcentral